GGAUUAGAUACCCUGGUAGUCCACGCCGUAAACGAUGAUCACUAGAUGUUCGGACUUCGGUCUGAGUGUCCAAGCGAAAGCGAUAAGUGAUCCACCUGGGGAGUACGUUCGCAAGAAUGAAACUCAAAGGAAUUGACGGGGGCCCGCACAAGCGGUGGAGCAUGUGGUUUAAUUCGAUGAUACGCGAGGAACCUUACCUGGGCUACAAUGCCUCUGACAGACGCCGAAAGGUGUUUUUCCUUCGGGACAGAGUGCAAGGUGCUGCAUGGUUGUCGUCAGCUCGUGCCG
This 288-nucleotide ribosomal RNA is filed under the name uncultured bacterium. RNAcentral's name for it is "partial 16S ribosomal RNA". It matches the Rfam family "Bacterial small subunit ribosomal RNA", at positions 775 to 1067 of the family's 1533-position model. The record is from RNAcentral.